RNAcentral lists this ribosomal RNA (477 nucleotides) under uncultured bacterium. RNAcentral describes it as "partial 16S ribosomal RNA". It matches the Rfam family "Bacterial small subunit ribosomal RNA", at positions 28 to 507 of the family's 1533-position model. The record is from RNAcentral.
GAUGAACGCUGGCGGCGUGCCUAAUACAUGCAAGUCGAGCGAACAGACGAGGGGCUUGCUCCUCUGACGUUAGCGGCGGACGGGUGAGUAACACGUGGAUAACCUACCUAUAAGACUGGGAUAACUUCGGGAAACCGGAGCUAAUACCGGAUAAUAUAUUGAACCGCAUGGUUCAAUAGUGAAAGACGGUUUUGCUGUCACUUAUAGAUGGAUCCGCGCCGCAUUAGCUAGUUGGUAAGGUAACGGCUUACCAAGGCAACGACGCGUAGCCGACCUGAGAGGGUGACCGGGCACAGGGGGACUGAGGUACGGCCCAGAGUGGUACGGGAGGCAGUAGUGGGGAAUAUUGAAAAAUGGGAGGAGGCCGGAUGCAACAAUGGCGCGUGCGGGAUGACGGCCUGCGGGUUGUAAACCGCUGUCGCCUGGGACGAAGCGUGAGUGACGGUAAUGGGUAAAGAAGCACCGGCUAACUAAGUG